UACGAAGGGGGCUAGCGUUGUCCGGAAUCAUUGGGCGUAAAGCGCGUGUAGGCGGUCCGGUAAGUCCGCUGUGAAAGUCGGGGGCUCAACCCUCGAAUGCCGGUGGAUACUGUCGGGCUAGAGUGCGGAAGAGGCGAGUGGAAUUCCUGGUGUAGCGGUGAAAUGCGCAGAUAUCAGGAGGAACACCAAUUGCGAAGGCAGCUCGCUGGGACGUAACUGACGCUGAGACGCGAAAGCGUGGGGAGCAAACAGG
Molecule: ribosomal RNA, 253 nt
Filed under: uncultured bacterium
Lineage: Bacteria
Description: partial 16S ribosomal RNA
Rfam family: Bacterial small subunit ribosomal RNA
Source: RNAcentral